Molecule: long non-coding RNA, 2534 nt
Filed under: Taeniopygia guttata (zebra finch)
Lineage: Eukaryota; Metazoa; Chordata; Aves; Passeriformes; Estrildidae
Description: lncRNA (ENSTGUG00000025730.1)
Source: RNAcentral
GAAAAUCAGGAUAGAGGAAAUAUAUCAAAGCAUAAAUUAAAACUUUCAAAGAUGAAAAUAUAAAACUAAUUAUCUUGGUUAAGAAAAAAUUAAAUCUUUUGCUUAGUCUGGCCAAUUAAUGUUAAUGUGUAGAUAUCAAGUUAACAAGUACAUUAAAUAGCAAUGGGACAAAUGAAGAGAGGAGCCUUAAUGUGCACAGACAAUUGCUGAGUCAACCAAAGUUCCUAAAGGCUCGGCUGCAAGUCUGGAAACAUAAACACUGAUGUCUAAAAUAGAAAUUUUUUUUUUUUCCCUCCUUCUCCAUUUUGUGUUUUACCACAGAACCAAACAAAAAAAGGCUGCAGGUAAUGAUCAUGGAGUGCUUGAAGGGCAUCUGUCUGCCCUCAUCACAAAGUGAAGGUAUGCCAGACACUUUUAGCUGCAAAACAUACAUGCAGAAAUCACUGUGUGAUUCAGCUGUGAGGAGUAAGUGAUCUGAUCAAUAUUUUCUGUAUCUCUUGCUCACAAUAAUUAUUUGUACUUAAAAGAAGGGAUAAUGUUUUGGCACCCACAUUUGAGGAAUAGUUGGUUUGGGUUUUUUUUUUUUUUUUUCCCCUUAGAUGCAGAGCAGAACUCAGAAUUCUUAUGGCAAAAAGAGGCCAAAGAGCAGAUGAGUGAGCAGAAUGGUUCAAGGAGGAGCAGAUGGAAACAGCUGCCAACAGAUGAGUACUGGAAUGGAUUCAAGCCACACUGCUUGCUGGAACUUGAGAAUUUUUGAUGGCCUGAGCAUUCCCAACCACAGUGUAUGGGCCUCCAGGUGCUGUCUGAAGACUGUGAAUAUUUUUGCUGUUUCUGCAUCAACAAGCCUUACAUUAUGGAAAGAUGAUAAAAUAGAACAUGGAGUUCACCAAGCAAUGAUUUCAGGAAGAAAUGUAGUUAAAUUUUUUCCCAGCAGAUGUGGCUGUUGGACCAGAAAAGGCUCAAGGUCAGUUCAGGUGGGUUAGGGAAAACUGUGGAGACUGGGGGCACCCCUUUUACUGCCAUGGAUAUGCAGCACUAGGUGGUAGCUGUGCUGAGACUCCCAACAAAAAAAACCCCCAACAUUCCAAUGAAAAUUGCAACCUCCCUCAAUCAUGUGAUUAAGUGGUUAUUGUCUGUUAGAGUUUUUAGUCAUUUUUUAAUAAAUAGGUACAGUAUUUGCCUUGCUAUUGAUAAAUGUGAGGUUAUACAUUGAGUAUUACAUAAAAUAGCACACUUGUUGAUGUUGCUAAGAUGCCUGUAGAUGAUAAAAAGUUAUUAGUAUUGUAACAACAAAAUGUGAGUUCUGUGCCAUGUUGACUGUAUUAUUGGGAAACCCCUGAGGUUUUCCAUCACCCCACGGUUACAGGAUAGAUCAGUUUUCACCAUUAGCUUACAAUGUUAAGGUUUUUAUUCAGAAGUGGCUGUGUAUGCGAAAUAUAGGUUUCUGGAUCCACAGGGAAAUUUCUGGAUUCCUUGUAGUUCUGUCAGACAUGUUCCUAAUUCCUGCUGGGUCUUGUGAGGGAAAAGACUAUCUGAUAGCUCUUCUGUACUGUGCUAGGGACCAUCCCCUCCCUCAUUAGCCCUGAAAUAUCAAAAAUGGAAAGGUCUCCACUUAAUGACAUUCCCAGUUGUGCAACAAGCCUGUGGAGAAGGGAGCAUGCUGCAUCCAUCAAGGAGAGGAGGUCAUGGCUGUUCAACAGUUUUACUAGAAAACCAGUGAUUUGAAAGGCUGAGGGAGGGUGAGCUGAUAGUAAAUAGUGCUUAAUGAGGCACUUGCCUCCCAAGAUGAUCUUCAGGUUGUCCUGUCAGUGAUUUGCACUCUGACUCUGCACAUGCCUUUUUACCUACUGCCUGUGAAGCCGAGAUUGCCACAUGCAAGUUGUGUGAAAUGACCUUCAUGCCAUCUCCUGCUAUCACAGGCUCUGUGUCAGCCACUCAUUGAGAGCUGUUAUAGGCUUUCAGCACUAUUAUGGGGGCAGUUUCUGGAUGGUACUUUCAAGAUCAGGUGAGCAAUAAAGCCUGGCAGCUUGUUCAGAGGGUUGUGCUCAGGGGGAUCGGCACAUCUGAAAGCGUUGUGACAGAAAUGGGUCAGUGACCAGAGCACGAGCAGAGGGUCACAGCAGGGAGUUUGUCCUGGCUUUGCACUGCUACAUGAACACUAGCCCAGACAGUAUUGUAUGCAGUAGUCUGAAAACAUUCCUACUGAAGCUGAAAAUAUUUCUACUGAUUUCAAGGAAAUUUUUAAACAAAAAUGGAAUAUUAAUUCAUUCAUUCAUUAAAAUUCAUGAGGUAUGAGGUAAAAAAGUUUCCUGGAUGUAAUUCUUCUGAAGAUGGUAGUUUUGGACCUUUGCACACUUUGAACCUUUCAAUUAUCUCUGCACAAUAUAAGAUGUAAAAUGAAAACUGCUUUUCUGUCCACUUCCAAGUGUUUUUUUUAAGGUCUUUAUCUUGAGUUGAAAAUGACAAGUCAUUUUAGAAGAGCAGCAUCUGGUGUGAAGCAACUGCCAAUUUAAUAUUUCUUUAAUAUAUUUGGA